This 2350-nucleotide long non-coding RNA is filed under the name Sus scrofa (pig). RNAcentral describes it as "lncRNA (ENSSSCG00060042870.1)". The record is from RNAcentral. Lineage: Eukaryota; Metazoa; Chordata; Mammalia; Artiodactyla; Suidae.
UUUUUUGGUCUUUUUAGGGCUGCACCCAUGGCACAUGCAAGUUCUGAGGCUAGGGGUAAAUUCAGAGCUGUAGCUUUCGCUUAUGACACAGCCAUAGCAAUGCCAGAUCUGAACUGCAUCUGCAACCUAUGCUGCAGCUUGAGGCAAUGCUGGAUCCUUAACUCAGUGAGUGAGGCCAGGGAUCGAACUCACAUCCUCAUGGAUACUAGUUGAGGUCUUCACCUGCUGAGCCACAACAGGAACUCACAGAUUCUGAACUUCUGACAAGCUCCCAAGUGGUACAUGGCAGUACACAUACUUAUUGGAACUGAUAAACAAUGGAUGUGACAGAAGGCUCUGUGAAUUUUUUCAAAAUGAAACUAAUAUAUGAUUUUUUGAAUGUAUGUUUUUUUUCUGCUUCUUUUGACUAAUGGGAGAUGAUUUUUCAUGAUUUUAACUGUCAUGUGUCAAACUCUGGGCGAGGUGCUGGAAGGGGAGGGGGUAAGGGGUGAGAAAAUAAUAAUUACAGCCUCUGCCCCAGUCAGGCUCAGCUGAGUGGGGGGAGACAGGCACCUAGCUAGGUAUUUACAGCAUAAUAUGCCUCUAAUGGAAAUAUCUAUAAAAUGGAAUGCAGAACAGAGGAACUACCUGGAUGGAAUGCUGGCCUCUGAGUCCUAAUGAAAUACAUUCUUAUGUAGUCUAAAGUUUUAUGGAAAAAAACUGAGCGUGCAUGCCUAGGUAACUUUUCAGCAAGUUUUGGAAUUUAAACUAAUUCACUGCAAGGGCAGAAGGGAGUGAAUGAUCCAGGUUGUGGAAGUGGGAUUUGAACUCAUCUUUGUCUCACAUCUAAGUCCAGGCUUGUACUCCUGCAACAGACUGGGUCUUAAGAAAUUCUCAAUUUUUCAUAGGCUUGGCUUCAUUUCUAAGUAAGUAAUAGUAAUAAUAAUAAUAAUAAUAAUAAUAAUAAUAAUAAUAAUAAUUCGGCUGAAGCUAAUACUAAUACAGCUCCUUUAUCUGCCAGGCAUUCACUGUUCUAGGCAUUUUACAUAUAUUAACUCAUUUAACCUUCUUAGCAACCCUGUGAACUACUGUCUCCAUUUUAUGGCUGAGAAAAUAAGUAAAAGCUAGUGAAAUAAUUUCCUUACAGUCACACAGUAAAUACAUGGCAAAAUUAGGAUUUGAACCUGAGAAAUCUGGUCCUGGAGCCACUUUACUACUCAAAGAGCAGUGUAUUUAUCAGCAUCAUGGGCAUUCCUCAGGGCUUUGUUUGGAAUACAGACUCCCAGGCCCUGUCCUAGAUGUCUGGAUCCAGAAUCAACUUUUUUUUUUUUUUUGUCUUUUUUAGGGCCACACCGGGGUACAUGGAGGUUCCCAGGCUAGGGGGUCAAAUAGGAGCUGCAGCUGCCAGCCUACACCACAGCCACAGCAACACCAGAUCCGAGCCACGUCUGUGACCCAUACCACAGCUCACGGGCAACGCCAGAUCCUUAACUGACUGAGCAAGGCCAGGGAUCAAACCUGCACCUCAUGGUUCCUAGUCAGAUUUGUUUCUGCUGCACCACGAUGGGAAUUCCCAGAAUCACCAUGUUUAACAAGACUCCCAGUUGAUGUCACUGUCACUAAAGCUUGAGAUAUUACUACUCUAAACCACCAUAAUAUGCAGCAUCUGGGGGAGACCAACCCCUCCACCACCUUCCACUUUGGCCUGAACUCUCAUUCUGAAAGGUUCCUACAAUCCCCACCAUCACCUCAGACACCUGUGGCACCUCACCUGUCUCAGCUUCACCCCAUGACCUGAGUCAAAAGUAGGUUCUUUCUAUAACAGGUCUAUUAGCACCAAACAUUUCAACUUCUUCUUCUUCUUCUUCUUCUUUUUUUUCUUUUUCUUUUUAUGGCCUCACCUGCAGCAUAUGGAAGUUCCCAGGCAAGGGGUCUAAUCAGAGCUGCAGCUAUGGCAACAUUGUAUCUGAACCGCUUGAAACAACUCCAGAUCCUUAACCCAUGGAUUUGAUCUCUGGCCAGAUCUCAGGCCAGAGAUCAAACCCAUGUUCUCACAGACAACAUCGGGUCCUUAACCUGACGAGCCACAACGAGAACUCCUAUUUCAGCUUCUUUAGUGAGGAUCUGAGGGGACAUAGAGAGGAGUCACUUUACUACCUUACAAUCUUCUGUUACCUCCCUGGCCUUUUGUCCACUACUGUUCAUUCAUUCAUUCCCUCCUCCCACCUCUACCUCCAUAUCCAUCCCCAUAUCCAUUCCUAUGAUCCAUCUCCCCUCCAUCCCCAUGCACAUCUCCCAUCUCUGUCUCCAUCCCCAUCUCCUAUCUCUCAUCUUCACCUCCAUCCUCAUCCCUGUCUCCUUUCUCCAUCCC